UACCAUUUGUGCAUGCGCACAACUGUUCAUGCACAUUUGCAAAUGGUGGUGUGUGCUCGUGUGGGCCUACGCCCACCCAUGCGCAUGCGCAAAUGGCAGUGUGUGGGCAAGCUGGACCACGCGCGCAGGCGCACACGAGCGGCGCAGGGGUGAGUGCGUACCAGGGGCGGGGGAAGGUGUUUCUCGUCAGCCCGGUCUGGCCCAGGCCAGGGACUGGGCCGGAGACCAGGAGUUGGGGAUUGCUGCAUUACGCCACAUUGGCUCAAACCACAUACAACAUACAAAAAAGAUACAUAUUUUCUCCAUAUACAGUAUAUAAAAAACAUAUUGUACUGUAUUUUGUUUCCAUUCUAGCAUAUGUGCAAGAAACAAGAAGCAAGUAUGAAUGGGUAAUAAAAACCUUUGAUCUUUGUAGGUGAAUGCUUGCAAAAUUAUAGUCAAUUUCAUUGCUGUAUCACUGCUCCACUAGCAGUUCUGAAAAUCAUUUCUGGACUGGUACCAUCCGGCUAGAUCAUCUGAUUAUAACAGGUUCGGAUACCACAAUAGUAGUCUAUACAUAGCUGCUGGGGAGAUUUCCUGUCUGACUCAGCUCCCACACACAGCUGCUUCUUUGAAGUGCAUGAGAGAAAAACUACUUUUCUUUUCAUCAUAAAGGAAAUGGAAUAUGGUUGAAAUCAUUAUAAUGAAGGUUGCCUACCCAAGGAAAGAGUUUGUAAAUCUGAAGAUAGCCUUCUAGUCUGCAUUCUAAAGAGCAGUUCAAGAUACCUCAGCGAAGAAGUACAUCCUUAAAAGAAAAAUUGCUACAUGCUUGUGAGGCUUUGUAAGCAGAGACAUGGCCACUGAGUUCUGCAAAGAAAAGAGUGCAAGACUGACUACUUAGAAAGCUAAUGGCAUCCCAAGGACUGACAAAAAAGAUGAUGGUCAGGAAUGGGGUGGUUGGAGGUAACCAGGGAAAAUGCAUUGCAAUUCCACACUUCCCCUAAUAGGCCAACCUCCACUGUGCAAAUUUGGAUGAAAAUCCUUGUUAAAAACCAACUGAAUGAAACAAACCUGUCACCCAUUUCUAGCUUGGGAAAAAUAUUUACAGGAAUAUGAGGGAAAAGUUUGCAUGGACCUCUGCUUGCAAAAUCAGCUUGUAGAAGGUUAUAGCCAUCACAUGGAUCUGUUCAAAAUAAUAGACUAAUGGAGUUGAAAGGCUGUAACCUUUCAACUCCAUUAUUCUC
This is a non-coding RNA of Pogona vitticeps (central bearded dragon), 1223 nucleotides long. Lineage: Eukaryota; Metazoa; Chordata; Lepidosauria; Squamata; Agamidae. The record is from RefSeq and is a predicted model, not a curated record.